Long non-coding RNA from Ochotona curzoniae (black-lipped pika), 110 nucleotides. RefSeq lists it as uncharacterized. The transcript is spliced from 2 exons. The record is from RefSeq and is a predicted model, not a curated record. Lineage: Eukaryota; Metazoa; Chordata; Mammalia; Lagomorpha; Ochotonidae.
AACGAAUGCGCUUUUGCCAGGUUCUUGCCUGCUAGAGAAGCAGCCUAGGAAUAGGUCCAACUACAGACAAGGGGUCAAGUCAAGUGCUACUGGUUGGUUGUGUGACCUUA